CCAGAGGUGUCAGAAACAAUGGAAAGUAACAAGACUGAGACUCCCCCCUCAACACAGACACAAAAAGUCUCUGUAAGGAAAGGUAAACAACUUGUUAAAUCCAAAGCUUCAAGCAAGAAACAAAUCAGCUCUGCUGCCACUGAGACGGAAGCAGCUGUUCCUGAAUCAGACCAUCCUGAGUGUUCUGAGCAGCCGCAGUCCUCAGGAAACAUCAUGACUGAGCCACAUGAAGGAGGUGGGGGUCAUGCAGCCGCAGAUAAAACUUUGACUGGAGGGAGAGAAGCUGACAAGAGAGUGACCUCACAAACCACACAAAGCUCCAGGAGCAGGCGUCAGAGCAAAAAAGCCGAAGGUUGUUCCUCUUUUUCUCCUUCCACAAUCAAACCUCCAUCUAGAAAAGCGACG
Molecule: long non-coding RNA, 405 nt
Organism: Nematolebias whitei (Rio pearlfish)
Lineage: Eukaryota; Metazoa; Chordata; Actinopteri; Cyprinodontiformes; Rivulidae
Exons: 3
Source: RefSeq, a predicted model, not a curated record